This 451-nucleotide unclassified non-coding RNA is filed under the name uncultured Mrakiella. Its description in RNAcentral is "sequence contains ITS2". The stretch from base 1 to 154 matches the Rfam family "5.8S ribosomal RNA". The record is from RNAcentral. Lineage: Eukaryota; Fungi; Basidiomycota; Tremellomycetes; Cystofilobasidiales; Cystofilobasidiaceae.
AACUUUUGGCAACGGAUCUCUUGGUUCUCGCAUCGAAGAAGAACGCAGCGAAAUGCGAUAAGUAAUGUGAAUUGCAGAAUUCAGUGAAUCAUCGAAUCUUUGAACGCACCUUGCGCUCUUUGGUAUUCCGAAGAGCAUGCCUGUUUGAGUGUCAUGAAACUCUCAACUCCCAACUUUCUUAAUAGUCGGUUGGGAGCUUGGACUUGAGCGUUGCUGGUCUUUAUUGACCGGCUCGCUUGAAAUGAAUUAGCAGAUCCUUUUUGUAAUCGGUUCCACUCGACGUGAUAAGUAUUUCGCCGAGGACAUCUUAACGGAUGGCCGAGAUAAAGAAAGUCUUUAGAUCCGCUUCUAAUUCUUAGCUAGAGCUUGCUCUACUAAACCCCUUUUAUGAUCUGGCCUCAAAUCAGGUAGGACUACCCGCUGAACUUAAGCAUAUCAAUAAGCGGAGGCU